Molecule: ribosomal RNA, 772 nt
Filed under: uncultured Clostridia bacterium
Lineage: Bacteria; Bacillati; Bacillota; Clostridia
Description: bacterial SSU rRNA
Rfam family: Bacterial small subunit ribosomal RNA
Source: RNAcentral
UUAGUGGCGGACGGGUGAGUAACGCGUGAGCAACCUACCUUUCUGAUGGGGGAUAACGUCUGGAAACGGACGCUAAUACCGCAUAAACCGAUGUUAUCGCAUGGUGAUAUCGGCAAAGAGAUAUCGUCAGGAGAUGGGCUCGCGUCGGAUUAGAUAGUUGGCGGGGUAACGGCCCACCAAGUCAACGAUCCAUAGCCGGACUGAGAGGUCGGACGGCCACAUUGGAACUGAGAUACGGUCCAGACUCCUACGGGAGGCAGCAGUGGGGAAUAUUGGGCAAUGGGCGAAAGCCUGACCCAGCGACGCCGCGUGAAGGAAGAAGGUCUUCGGAUUGUAAACUUCAGUAGGCAGGGACGAAGAAAGUGACGGUACCUGCAGAGUAAGCCACGGCUAACUACGUGCCAGCAGCCGCGGUAAUACGUAGGGGGCGAGCGUUGUCCGGAAUUACUGGGCGUAAAGGGUGCGUAGGCGGCCUUAUAAGUCAUGUGUGAAAAACCCGGGCUCAACCCGGGUAUUGCAAGUGAAACUAUAGGGCUUGAGUGCAGGAGAGGGAAGUGGAAUUCCUAGUGUAGCGGUGAAAUGCGUAGAGAUUAGGAGGAACACCAGUGGCGAAGGCGGCUUCCUGGACUGCAACUGACGCUGAGGCACGAAAGCGUGGGGAGCAAACAGGAUUAGAUACCCUGGUAGUCCACGCCGUAAACGCUGAUACUAGGUGUAGGUACCGAUGAGGUAUCUGUGCCGUAGUUAACGCAAUAAGUAUCCCCGCCYUGGG